ACGGCUAGCUGCCCAGAAUUGCCGGGUGACAUUUUCGGUAGAGUGAAAAGCUGGAAGGAACAUGGCAGACGCAGCUGAAAAAUUCCAGUGGCCCCUAUAAAGCCGAUGUGUGGGUGCACUUCGGUUUUAAAAACAAACCUGGGAGCAUGGACUCGGAUAAAACCAAUGCAAUAUGCAAGCUUUGUCACGCUGCUGUAAAAUAUUCAGGUAACACAACCAACUUGCGAGCGCAACUUGUCAGACGCCAUGCAGUUAUAACGUUACAGCAGCAACAGAAACUUGUCGAUCACAGGCAGACUACACUGGAUAAUACCACUAACAAACUUCCAACUACCUCAGCUCGAGCUCGUAAAAUAACGGAGUCGUUGGUGCAUUUAAUUUGUCAUGAUUUGCGCCCCUAUUGUGUCGUUGAAAACACCGGCUUCAGGUAUAUUAACAUCAUGGAGCCGCGCUAUAUGAUCCCGACUCGCAAACACAUUACUGAGGUAGCUGUGCCCAGGAUGUAUAAAGAGGUGAAGCAAAUAGUAAACUCAUCUCUUGGCUCACUAGAAAGAGUGGCCCUUACGUGCGAUGGCUGGACAUCGAGAGCCACUGAAUCUUAUGUUACGAUCACUGCGCACCACAUCAAUGAGGACUGGGAACUGAUUUCUCAUGUUUUGCAGACGAGAGCAAUGCAUGAGAGCCAUACUGGCAGUAACAUCGCCGAGCUGUUGAAAGGCGCAUUAGAGGAAUGGGACAUAAAAAGCGAGGACCCCGCUAUAGUUACAGACAACGCAUCAAACAUGACCAGCGCAUCUAGCUGGUUUGCUACAUUUGAAAUGUUUCGCGCAUACCUUGAAUUUGGCUUCACAGCGCGCACUGCGGCUAAAACCAGUCGCCCGAUUGCUGGGAAGCGUGAGAAGAAUAACCAGCUUUUUCAGACGCAGCUCCACAGCCAGCUGUGUACUUGGAGAAAAACAAAAGCUGCUAAAUCUGCCUCAACACAAAUUGCUCACUUACAUCGUUACCAGAUGGAAUAGUGCUCAUGACAUGCUGCACCGCUUCUUAGAACUGCAGCCAGCCAUCCAUGCUGCCCUCCUCUCAGCUGAGGUGAGGAAGACAGAGAAGGAGAUCUGCACCCUCAGUGAGUCAGACAUAACAGCUGCUGAAGAAGUUGUCACUGCUAUGAAGCCCAUGAAGGUAGCUACACUUGUCAUGUCAGAGGAGACCACUCCAACACUAUCAGUUGUAGCACCACUCCUUGUCCAGCUGAUCCAUGAUCUACAAGACAGCCCAGCUGAUUCCAACUUGACAAAGGAAAUCAAAUCUGCCAUAUGCCAGGAUCUUAACAAGAGGUACUUGAACAAGGAGACUCUUUAUGUGGCCUCAGUUAUGGAUCUGAGGUUUAAGGCCCUGCCCUUCCUUUCAGAAGACCAACACUAGGACAUCUAUGCUAGAAUCACUGCAGAAGCUACAAGGAGCAAAGGGGCAUUACAGCAGAAUGAGACUGGAGUGGAGACAAGAGAGACAGAGAGCGACGUGAAUGUGGUGCCAGAAGAAGAUGAGGACAGCAAUCAAUGCCCUGUGCAAAAAGACAUCUCUGCAGCACCAUCCAAGAGAUAAAGGCAUUUUCUAGCUGACCUACUUGGUCAAACAUAUGCUGCAGGUGCUGCAAAGAAAUUGAAAACCGCAGAGGACUAGGCAAAGGAGAUGGCAAGAUACAAGGAGGAAGCUCCCCUGCCACUUGGUGCCAAUCCACUGGACUGGUGGAAAGGGCAUCAGAGCGAGUAUCCUCUCGUCACACAUCGCAAAGAGAUACCCGUGUAUCCCAGGGACUAGCAUCUCCUCGGAGAGAGUUCUCUCUACCACGGGGGAUAUUAUUACAGCUCAGAGGAGUGUACCCAGACCAUCUUUUUCAAAUUCUGUUCCUGAACAGAAAUCUGAAGUCAAAGCAGGCCUGCCAUUGUAUCCAUAUUUUUACUAAGUGUUCAUAUAGCAAAGUAUAAUGGACACAUGCCAAAAACAUUUGAGUUGGACUACGUUAUUUACAGUUUAUUUACAUCAUAUUGACUAUUUUAGUUUUAUUAAUUUUGUUUAUAAUAAUACUUAAUAUGCACUUAAUAUGUUUUACUCAUACAUUUCAGUUCAUUGUGUUCAGUGACAAUAAAGAGUACCUGAGCAUAUGCACUUUAUUUUCAUGUCUACGUUUAAGCUCAGUCCUCUACUAGCCCUACGCAAUCCUCAGUGAGUUCACUGUGUACUUUAUUUUCUUUUUUUCAAUAUCUAAUGCACUUUAUUUUCAUGUUUUCAAUUUCAGUGUGUGCACUGUUCAAGUGCAGGUUCAUUUUGUUAUGGCAGCUAAAAAAUAAAUUGGAAAGGAAAUUUUGAAUUAUAUCGUUUUGACUCAAUUUGUCUGCUGAUUUAUCAUUGUGAUGUAUUAAGACUGCCCAGAUCAUACACGGUAACUUGUAUUUUAGCUCUGUUUUUACAUUUUCACUGAACUGUGCAAUAUCACAAUAUGUAUCAUAUCGUCCUUGCCAAUACCCACCCCUACUCCAAACACUAACUUUAACAACGCAGCACAUGGUUGCUAGAAUACGAGCAGCCAGGCUGCAGCUGAGUAACACAUACUCACUGGGUUAAACUAAUCUCCAAAUAUACUUAGAUUAAACAACCAAAUGGAUUAGAAGUAAAAUGAACCAACAUACCUUUAACAAAAGUAGGAUGAAGCAAAAUUAGUACACAAUGUGAUUUUUCCUCUUAUCCCUGCAUGAAAACACACGCAGUUGUGACUUGAGGCACUAUAUAUAGCACGAUUAAAAAUGCUAUUUGUACUAAAGGUUAGCUAAAACACUCAUACAUCAUCAUUAUGCACUCACACAGCAUUUUGGAUGAUAUAAACACCAUUUUAACAGUGACUAAUUGUUAACAAAAUGGCAAAUGCACAAUACAUGAGAGAGUAGAGCAAACAUGGCUUACCCCAUAAACAUCCACCGUGUUUCUGAUAAAGGAAACGGGGGAGCAAUAUAAUGUCUAAAGGUGUGCCACUAAUUUAAGCUCCACCUACAACAAUCAGUGGGAACCAUUGAAAAAUGAACAUUAGAAUAUAAAAUAUUUCACGUAAUAUACAAACAAUUUUUGCUGAAGUUAACCCACAAAUAAAAUAUUUUCAUAAACACACUAAAUUAUACAAAACAAAAUUAAAUGCAUGAAACAUUUGGCUACAUACUGUACUCCCCUCUUAACUUCACAAAACUUGCCCUACUAUGUACUUGGCAGUUUGAAGGGGAGACACUGGACAUGCACUUGUCCUAUUAUGCAACAUAUGUAUUACCCAACCAUUAAGGGAAAAAGAAUGAAAGAAAGCUGACCAGACUCUCAAAUAUUCUUUUGCUAAAGGGGUGCCUUUCACACCACUCAACUAUGUGACUCAAAUGACUAAUUUACUUUAUACCUCGGAACAUAAUAUACUGGCCUUUGAAUAACUCAUAACCUAAAAUUUCUUAUGACAAUAAAGACUUUGUGAUAUCUCUGACUGCAUUGCGAGUUGUUUUCUGAGUCAUAUUUUGAAUUAGUCUAUUCACAGGCCUCACUAGCCUACCAACACGUGUUCGGACCAGUCACUGCUUGAAACACAUUAGGGGGAGCACUAGUUAUUGACAGCUUGCUGGUUGACCUUGAUCUCUCUUUAGCACUGGGUGCUUCAACAGUAGCACUAACAAAAUCUUGAGUCUAUUCGACUGAUCUGGGGACACCCACUCUCAGGCUCUUGGUUGCCCGGGCUUCCAGAUUCUCCAGAAUCUCUAUGUCUCUCCAACUCCCCUACAUCCAACAUUUCUUCUGAUGAGCCAUCAGAGGUAGGUAAAGAGGCCAUCCAACUGGCAGUACUUCUGGUCACAAUAGAGUCAUCCUCUGGUGCUGGGAUCUGCAUCAGAGUCUCAUCUAACUGUUCGCGACCUGACUCAGAGUCGCUGAAGGAUGAUUCCAUUUACUCCUCUACUUCCAGAAGCAAAAAAGUUGGCUUGCAGCAUAAGGUUCCUGUGUACCACCUUCUCUUGGCCAGUACUGGUGUUUCUUACACGGUAAGUGUGACAUCUGGGAUCUUUUGACACUACCAUAUAUGGCAAAGACUCCCAUUUGUCGGCCAAUUUCCUUUGUCCCCUUGCACCUUUAUUGGCUAGUAACACUUGGUCACCUUCUUCAAUAUCACAACCCUUUGUUCUUCAGCCUGCCGUUGUUGGCUUGCACUGGCAUUCACUUGAGCAAGGUUGAGAGCUUCCUUGAGGUCAUUCCUCAUUUUCGCUACAUAGCUGUCAUAAUCCGUGAUGUUAUCAUCCUUCCCAACACUGUGGAACAUUACGUCUACAGGCAGAUGAGGAACCCUCCCAAACAUCAGGUAAAAUGGUGCGUAAUCAGUGGACUCAUGGGCAGUGCAGUUGAGGCCAAUUCAGUUUAGCUCUCGGGGGUAAAGCUUGUAUCAUACUUCCCAGUGUGUGACUGAACCAUUCAGUAUGACCAUUUCCCAUAGGGUGGUAAGCCAUCAUUCUAGACUUCUCGACUCCUGCAAUUUGCAAAAACUCUUGAAUCAGAUGACUCUCGAAGUUCGCACCCUGAUCGGAAAGGAUCCUCUCUGGAAACCCAUAAAUGCAGAAGUAUCUAUACCACAGUUGACAAGCUACUUGCCUGGCUGUCUGAUCACGACAUACAAAAGCAUGGGCCAAUUUGGUAAAAUGGUUUGUAACCACCAAUACAUCCACACUCUUACCCUUGCAAUCUUCAGUGGACCAAAAGUCCAUACACACCAACUCCAGAGCUCUGGUUGUCUUGAUUCUCGAGUGGCACUCUUCCCUCUGGCUCAGGUGUCUUGCUAACAACGCAUCACUUGCAGCACUUCACAUUCUUGGAUAUCUUGCUCCAUGUCAGCCCAAAAGAACCUCUCUCUGGCCAAAUGAAGUGUUCUGCCCUGACCUUGAUGUACAGCUUAAUCAUGGAUUCCUUGCAGGGCCUGCUCACUCAAUGAGGCCGGGACAACAUACUGCCAAUGCUUCUUCCCGGUCAGCUGGUCUUUGGACACGCGGUAUAACACUCCAUCUAACAUCUUCAAUUUAUCCCACUGUAUAUUGGCAUUUCUUUCAUCCUCUCGAGUCUUGAUGGCCUUCUGCCAUGGGUAACAGGAAAGAACUUCAGCCAAAACAGGAUCUCCUGUCUGUUUAUCCUGAAGCUCCUACACUGUAAAUACUGGUAGUGCACUUUGACCGACAGGAACUAGGUUGUGCACAUCCUGAGCUAGCCACUGAUGCACUCUAUCCUUAGGCCCCACACUCCACUCUACAUGGCUUCCUAGUAUAGCCAGCACUUCACCCAUGGAAAGUGGGAGACACUUUGAUUCUUGACCAGAGAACGACGAUUCGACACUCUGGCACUUAGCACUGAUGCGGAAGGCAUGCUGAAAUACAUCUUCUUUGAAAUAGUUUGAUUCCUCCAGCAGAGCUCCAUCUGGCUCCAUCACCAAUCUCUGGCUAACACGACCAUGAACAAAAGGCUGUCGGCUCAUUGCAUCUGCCACUACAUUCUUGCUCCCAAGAAUGUACUGAAUACUGAAGUCAUAUGGUGCUAGCUUGGCGACCCACCUCUGCUCACACGCUUUAAGCUUUGGCUUAGUUAAGAUGUAGGUUAAAGGGUUGUUGUCUGUCCAAACAGUGAAAGAAUGUCUUUUUAGCCAAUGGCUGAAUUUUUCACAGACGGACCACUUCAGGGCCAGGAAUUCUAACCGGUGAGCAGAGUAAUUGCUUCGGGCACGUGUGAGGGCCUUGCUGGCGAAGGCAACAGGACAGGCUUUCAUCGCCAAGAUAAAUGGACGGCUGAAGUCCGGGUGUGCGAGCACCACAGAUUCCAGAAGGGCACACUUCAGUUGACUGAAGGAAUCACACUGUUCUUUCUUCCAAUCACAAGGGCUUAAUUUCUUGAAGGCAGGCAGCCUCUUUCCAUUAAUCCUUCGUCCUUUUGGUGCAGCGGUCAGUGUCAACAAGUGUUUAGCUAUACUGGAACAAUUCUGUAUGAAUCAUUGGUAAAACAUUACCAUGCCAAGGAAUGACUUUAUCUUUCUCUGACAUGGCGUGACUACAUCUUCCAUCAUAAGGACUGUUUCAGUCAUUGCUGCAAUGCCUCUGACUUUAUUGGGAUCAGCUGCUCUCCAGUUUCAUUGACCACAUGGCCUAGAAAAUGCACACUUCGUCAUAACAGGUGACACUUCUGUAAAGCUGGCACUAGGAUGUCUACACCCAAAAGGCUCUGUGAGAGCCAACGUCAUAAAAUUCUCAUACAGAAGAGCAUCUCCACCUGAGACAACACACCCAACUGAGCAAGGACCAUAAAACACAAAUCUCACUUACAUCUACUCCCUCUCUCACCUCAGGUCAAUUUAGGAUCACCAAAAACUAAGUUAUGACUUAUCCUGUUCAGUAAUGUAAAAGGUUUUCUGAUCAUACAUGUUUGGUAUCAUUCAAGAGGUCUCAGUGCAACUGGUAAAACGGUCUCAUUCCCUUCUGUCCACACUGAGAAGGCGUUUUUGUCCGCGAAAACAGAGCUUUUUUGAAAACGCACUCCAAAGUUAAUAAAUUUGAAAACGCCGUUUUCGCAUUGUAGUGUGGACUGUGAAAACAGAUGCUUUCGAAAACGAUGACGCAUUUUUAGUCAUGUGAUGCAGUCAUGUGACACAUUCAGUCCAAAACAAGAUGGUGGACGACGUUGACGACGUUGUAUCUCAGUUGUUUUGGCUACCCUCCAGUUUGAUUGCGUUGUUAAAGAUUAAUGUCAGUUUGUAUAUACUUCAGCUUACAUUUCUUCAAAGGAGACAGGAUGUUUACUCGCAGUUGUUGUUCAGCGGUGGAACACGAGGACAGUUGCGUUUCAUACCGUACAUUGCCACGAUGUUUCAAAGAGGAUUAAAUAAAUGCCUGACGGAAAUGACGCAUGUCGAAUCAUCUUACGUUUUACUCAUGCGCAGUACAGGGACGUAAGCGUUUUCAGACUUUUCAGUGUGGAUGAGCAACUUUUGGAAAAUGCUAGUGUGGACAGAGAGCAUUUUGAAACGAAAACCCCAUUUUCAAAUGUAUCCGGAUUAAUGUAAACAUAGCCUGAGUUACACAUACACACAGGUUAAACUAAUCUCCAAAUACACUGUAGUGUACGUUUACACAACAAGGAUGUACUAAAAGCAGAAAAGGUUUUCCUUUGCGUUUUUGAUAAGUAUCAUGUUCAGACGACAACGUUGUCAAAACGAUCCUCGUUCACACGGAUCCGCGAAAACGACUAAAAACGCUGUAUUAUGCAUGCCAGGCCAGUAGUUGACGAUGUCACAUUGUAAAGAAACACUACGCGCCUGCGCACAUAAGCAUUCUUCCACAGAGCGGUGAAUACAAACAAUGAAGAUGGCGAAAGCAUCGAGCUGGACGGACGAUGAGAUAGCUUUUUUUUUUACUACAAUUACUUUGCUGGAGAAGCGUCAAUAAACUCCAAAUCUUGAGCAGCACAAACACAGUCCUGUAGUCCACCACUGUAAUUUUGAAUGUCUUGCGUGUUGUUUUGAAGUACUCGCGUGCAUGCUUAUAGACUGAACUCUCAAGAUUAUUCAAUAAACUCUGCUCAUUUUUACCAUCACUUCGUCUCCUGACUUCUUCUGUAGUAAAUGGAUUAAUUGUUGAUUAUUGUUAUUUGCACAGACACCAGUAUUCAUAUUGAUAAUUAUACAUCUCAAAUUGAUGCCUAUCAGUCCAUCAUUCUUUAUAUAACACGUAAUAAUUGUGCACAUGAUGUCAUCGUUUUCACAAAUUCGCAUUUUUGUAUGUUUACACGGAGACGAUAACGGCAUCGUUUUCAAAAACUUGCACUUUGAAACCCGUUUUCAAAAGUUUGCGUUUUCAGGCCCCAAAACGCCGUUGUCAUGUAAAUGAACAGCCAAAAGGCAUAAAAAGUUUUCCGUUUUUAGAUGAAAACAUUGUCGUGUAAACGGCCCCUUUGUGAGUGUUUAUUGGGGGAAUGAAAUACACUUUUUCAAUGUGGAGGAAAAUAUGUUUAUUGAAUUAUUUGACUGGAACAGCUAAACUAGCAAUUUGGAAAACAAGAAAGAACAAAGGUCAAUAGAUCCUGAUAUGAUGUAUAGACGUUUGGUAGAGGCAAGACUGAAAAUUGAAUUUGCUUAUUAUAGACUUACAAAUAAUGUGGUGUUCUUUUGUGAUGUAUGGUGUAUUA
Myxocyprinus asiaticus (Chinese sucker) is the source of this 8229-nucleotide long non-coding RNA. RefSeq lists it as uncharacterized. NCBI's taxonomy places the organism in Eukaryota, Metazoa, Chordata, Actinopteri, Cypriniformes, Catostomidae. The transcript is spliced from 3 exons. The record is from RefSeq and is a predicted model, not a curated record.